UAGACCAGACUCUCUAUUUUAUUUCAUAUAUAGUGAGUCUGGUACCCAAGGUACCUCGUGUAGUUAGCCUGUGCUCCAGACCCCUAACUUGAAAGUAGAGGGUCUGUGUAACCGAGAGCAAAAUCGUGCACGGGGAUUGAAUUGAAUUUUUUGCAUAAUUAUCACACAUCUGUGUAAUCAUGCAAGAAGAAGCGCUAAUAUUUUGUUCGGUCGUGGCAGUAUGAUAUAGAUUUAUUUGUUACAAGAAAAGUUUUGAAAAUGUUGCUCUGCUAUUUGAUGUUGAAGAUCUUGAUUGGGACAAUUCAUUGGUUCUGACCAAAACAGAUUAAAGAUGCUGUGGGCCAAUCUUGCUCAUUUUGCAGCAUUUGAUGGGGAGUGAAUCUACCUUAUGAAGCAAUCGAAGUAAAAUUGACUUGGCAACCAAUCGAUUUGCUUUGAGUAGACAUUUGAUUUUGCUUGGUAGAGGAUGAUUUUUUGAGACAAAAUCUAGUGGAUACGAUGACGGAAAACAUGACUUUCGGAGUAGCGAUAAGAAAUGAAACCGAAAAGUAGACAAGGCGCUUUGGCUUCAAGCCUCAGAGAAUGAUCUCUGGUUAUAAACGCAAGUUUACAUACAGUAGAAAUUGCUAAAGACUAGUAAACAUUUAUCAUUGAUCCGGACAAGGCUGCCUAACUGAGUGGACUAAUUUUAUUAGCAAUGUGAGGCAGUAGGCCUAGGCCCAUGCCUUGUACUUUUCAUAAAUUCUUUUCAUCAUGAUAGUGAUUGAUUUGCUAUAAA
Molecule: non-coding RNA, 778 nt
Organism: Rhopilema esculentum
Lineage: Eukaryota; Metazoa; Cnidaria; Scyphozoa; Rhizostomeae; Rhizostomatidae
Source: RefSeq, a predicted model, not a curated record